UGGCUGGCUGCUCCAAGUGCAGGGCCCGCCAAGACCACGCCCACCCGGAACUCCAGCUGACAGCGAGUGGGAACGCAGCGAGUGGGAACGCAGCCCCAGUUGCCACUCACGCCUCUCCCUCCACACCUCCCUGCAAGCUGAGGGAGCCGGCUCCGGCCUUGGCCAGCCCAGAAAGGGGCUCCCACAGUGCAGCGGUGGGCUGAAGGGCUCCUCAAGUGCCCCCAAAGUGGGAGCCCAGGCAGAGGAGGCCCCGAGAGCGAGCAAGGGCUCUGAGGACUGCCAGCACGCUGUCACCUCUCAAAACCACCUCACUUGGUUGUAGGAGGUCAUUGAAGAUUGCCUGGAGGAAGCCAUGUUCAAUGGGCACAUUUGUAGAAUGAUGUGAGCCAGCCCAUGGCAGACAUCCAGCUGAUCACACUGUGUCCACAUAAGGCAAAUGCUGAGCUGUAAUCCAUCAAGCUGUUUCCGCAUAGAGAAAAGGCCAUAUGAGUACACAGCCAGAAGGUGUCUGCCUACAAGACAAAGAGGGAAAACUUACCUGAAACCAACCCUGAUGGAUAUUGGAUUUCUAAGCUCCAGAACUGUGAGAAAAUUAAUUUUAUGUGCUUUAAGACACUCAAUUUGUGGUAUUCUGUUAUGGCAGCCUAUGCUAGUCAAUUUGCAUUACCAUAAAGCAACACCUGAGAGUGGGUAAAUUAUAAAGAAAAGAAGUUGAAUCGGCUCAUGGUUCUGCAGGCAGUACAGAAGCAUAGUGCUGGCAAUUGCCCCUGGCAAGGGGCUCAGGAAGCUUACAAACAUGGCAGAAGGCAAAGGGAAGCCAACAUAUCACACGUAAGCUCAGGAAGCUUACAAACAUGGCAGAAGGCAAAGGGAAGCCAACAUAUCACGUGGCGAGAAAGACAGAGAAGCGGUAGGUCCCAGACUCUUUUAAACAACAAGACCUCAUGUGAACUGAGGGGAAACUCACUUUCACCAAGGAGAUGGUGCUAAACCACUAAUGAGGGAUCUGUCCCAUGAGCCAAUCACCUCCCACCAAGACCUACCUCCAAUUUUGGAAAUUAUAUUUCAACAUGAGAUUUGGAGGGGACAAACAUCCAAACCAUAUCCCAGCCUGAGCAGACUAACAGAGUCUCUGAAUAAAUCUAUGAAAAUGACUAGAGUAUUAUUUUGUUGAGUGAUUUCUUCUUGUAUUAGGAUUGGUCUCCUUGAAAAUAUUUUUCUCAUAUCUGUUAUAAUAAAAUACUGAGAAUCAUACUAAUUCUACUCUAAACUUAGAUAUUUAAGAGGGUUGGAUUUGACUGAUUGCUCUGAUGUUGCUAACAUAGUCAAAGACUUUUCAAAACUAAAGUGUAAUAUUAUGUCAUGCAACCUUGAGAAAAUUACAAUGGACAAAGCAGAACUAUAAUUCACAAUUCAUCUCCCAAACAAAUUGUGACACCCCUUCUUUCCAAUCCACUGAAAUAUGCCUAAAAUGAGAAAAAAGGGAAAUCUUAAAAACAACAACAACAACAACAAAGAAAAAACAGAAAACGGCAACAUUCAGGCAAAAAAGAAUGUGAGGACUAUGAUGCUGGCAUGCUAAACUUAAUUAAUAAUAAAUGAGAGAGUUUGGAAUGAUUAUAUGUGAAUGAGUUUCAAUCCUGAUAUCUUUUCCCUUCAUUUUUUCACCUCAAAGACCUAGUCCAUCAGCAUCUUUUAUUACUAUCAUCAGCCUUCCAGAGCCUCUGCCAAGAUGUCUGCUGCCUGGAGCCCAUGGGUAUAUGUCCCAAUUAGUCAUAGCCCAGGGUCAAAUGUGUCAUUCCAGAGAGCCAACAGUUCAUAGCUAAUUUACGUUUCCUUGUCAAAAUGCUUAAACCACGUAUUUUAGAGCAGUAACUAGAAAAACUAGGAAAUAAAAACUUGAAAAAUGUCAACGGGAAAUGACUUUUUCCUCGGUUAGCAUCUGCAAUAUACUUAUCUUAAAUAUUUUCUGCCUUUUGACCAUCUUCCAUGGUCGAUAUUUAUAUUAUAAUUUGUCAUUAUCGAAAAUUGAUCCCUGUAUCAAUUUCUGCUUAUCUUUAGACAAUAUUGAAAAUGACCCUGGAUUUUGUUUUUUAAGCUAAAAAAUUCUGGUUCACACAUGAAACUUCCAAAAAAUAAUUGUUUUCCUGUAUCUUGAAGAAAACAAAUUAUGUGCUUCAAGAACUCAAGUUAUUUUUAAUCAUGUUUUUAAAAACAUGAUUAUGUAGUAUCCAUUUCUGUCAUAUUAUUGUCAAACAGAAAACACUUACAUCAUUCGACCACCUUAGGGUGCUUUCCAUUGGAAUCUCUAUAGCACCACUGAUUUUUUUUUUGAAAUAGGUUCUCACUCUGUCACCCAGGUUGGAGUGCAGUGGUGUGAUCAUAGCUUACUGUGGCCUGGGACUUUUAGGCUCAAGUGAUCCUCCUGCCUCAGUCUCCCAAGUAGCUGGGAUUACAGGCACCAGCCACCAUGCCAGGCCUGGUUAGUCAUUUGUAUAUAGCAUGUGUCAAAUUCAUAUAAAUGUUUUGUUAUUGCUAUAACUACUCCAAAGGUUUUGAUAAUUUACAUACACCAUGUUGUACUUACUGUCUCUUGGUCGCUGCGUUACAUGUUGAGAUAAUACUUGUGAAUGAGACAGAUGCCUGGAGGUGAAAAACAAACCUAGUCAAAAGAUAUGCUUCGCAUAAUUGUUUAUAAAGUAAAAAAUUAAAGGUAACUGAAUGCUUAUCAAUAUUGAGCUGUUUUAUAUCUAUACCAGAAAGUAUAAGGCAAUACUUUAAAAAAUGUGUAAAACCUUGUAAACUCACAUAAAAAAAUUUAGAGACAUGUUAACUGACAAAAGGAAGACGAACAUUUUGUUUUGCUUUAUCUCAUUUAUGGGAAAAAUCGACAAAUCAAAACUCCCUUGUGUGUGUGUAUGUGUGUGUGUGUGUGUGUGUACAUGUGAACAUGCCCAUGUGUAAUUAUAAAUAUAUAGAAAAAAGAACUAGAUAUCUUAACUUCUCACUAAAAAAAUACCUUCUGUACAGGAGAAUGGUUUGGAAAUUGAGACUAAUCAAGGAGUAACAUUAAUUUUAUCUGUACUAUUUAAUUUUUUAUUAUCAAGAUUAUAUCCAUGUGUUACUAUUGUAAAUAAAAAAGCAUGAAAGACAAACUUCAAUGAAUAAAAUAGUUAAUAAAGUUUAGAUAUAACUUCAAUUUAAUCAGCAAAUUAUAAGAGCAGCUAGCAAAAUUCUUUCAAAUACUAGAUAUUAUUUCUUUAAGCUGAAGGAAAUACAACUACAUUCAAAAAGCUAGCCAGUUAUUAGGUAAAAUUUCUUGGAAGAAAAAUACACAUAGUGAAAAUCUGGUAAGUAUAAAUUUUAAUAAUAAAGAAAGAGAUUUGCACACAACCAGCCUGUAAAAACAAAAAACAAAACCCCAAAACAAACAAAAAAGCCACCCAAAACAGUAACAACAAUGUAUUAUCUUUAUUUCCAAAGAAGAAAACAAUCAAUGUACAUCUCAACUUCCCUGUGAAAUAGAUAAAAGGCUGAUGAUAAGCAAAUAAAGCAAAACAACAUACAAAAUAACAUAAUUGCUGUUAAGAGUUAGACACAUGUCAAAUAAAAUUUGGAAAAAAGGCAGUAAAGUAAAAAUAAUUAACAAUAAAAUUAAAUAUUCAAAACAAUAAGCAUCUAAAAAUUUCAGAUUGUAGAAAUAAACUGUAGAAAGACGUUGUGAAGAAAAAUAAAAGUAUUUUCUCAUUUUAUUUCAUAUAUAAGAAAUUGCUUAAAAGAUAGAAUGUUAUCACUGAUGAUUAAAAUAGAAAAUGAAGAAUAAUAUUUUAGCAACUUUAAGAAUAGCAAAAUAUGUAUGUAGAAUGUAUGAGAAGUAUUUAAAAAUAUAUUCAAAUAAAUUAUGAUCUAUAGAGACAUAGAUAAACUAAUGAAAAUCAGAAGGUGUAAAAAAAAGACAUUCUACACACUAUGAUACAAGUAACAUCUGAUGAAUUAGCCAUGCUGAUAACUGCCAAUUUAUUAAAUUUUUCUAUUAAAAAUACAUUUUGUAUUAAAAAUAAAUUAUAUGAUAUCAUUGAUUGUAAUCUUAGAUCUCAAAAUGACUAGAGUGUAAUUUAUGCGGUUAUUUACAUAUUUAUAUAGACAUACAUAAACUAAACAUACACAUAUCCUUUUAUGUAAUUGAAAAAUGAAAAAUAGAUGUAUUUAUAUAAGUGAAUAUACAUGUAAAAGUAUAUAUAUUGGUCUGUCUGAGUUUAAUAAAUGCUAUAUAUAUAUAUAUAUAUAUAUAUAUAUAAUCUGUUCAUGUCUGAAUUUAAUUCCUACUUUGAGACUUAUUCCACUGAUAUCAUAAACCUAAUCUGUCAGUUUUAGUGAAGUCUUUUCAAGUUUUCCUCAGUCAAUGCAGGCAUCUAGCUCACUUACCAGAGUUGUUUUUCACCUGUCUGUGCUGAUUUUUCUAAUACAUUUAUGCUUUCAAAAAGUCUCUGAUUUUUAGUAGAUCAUGGCAGCUUCUCUUUUACACCAUACAUGAAGCUCUCUUAGGCCUAUCCCUUUCCAUUGGCUACUUCUAUACCUCUCCUG
RNAcentral lists this long non-coding RNA (4584 nucleotides) under Homo sapiens (human). RNAcentral describes it as "HSALNT0063503". Lineage: Eukaryota; Metazoa; Chordata; Mammalia; Primates; Hominidae. The record is from RNAcentral.